CCUACGGGAGGCUGCAGUGGGGAAUAUUGCGCAAUGGGCGAAAGCCUGACGCAGCGACGCCGCGUGAGGGAUGAAGGUCUUCGGAUCGUAAACCUCUGUCAGCAGGGAAGAACGGUCACUGGGCUAAUCAGCAGUGAAUUGACGGUACCGGCAAAGGAAGCACGGGCUAACUCCGUGCCAGCAGCCGCGGUAAGACGGAGGGUGCGAGCGUUACUCGGAAUGACUGGGCGUAAAGCGCUCGUAGGCGGUAUGUCAAGUCAAGGGUGAAAUCCCCGCGCUCAACGUGGUAACUGCCUUUGAAACUGGCAAACUGGUGUGUGUGAGAGGAUAGUGGAAUUCCAGGUGU
RNAcentral lists this ribosomal RNA (346 nucleotides) under uncultured bacterium. RNAcentral describes it as "partial 16S ribosomal RNA". It matches the Rfam family "Bacterial small subunit ribosomal RNA", at positions 338 to 676 of the family's 1533-position model. The record is from RNAcentral.